This 279-nucleotide ribosomal RNA is filed under the name uncultured bacterium. Its description in RNAcentral is "partial 16S ribosomal RNA". It matches the Rfam family "Bacterial small subunit ribosomal RNA", at positions 506 to 784 of the family's 1533-position model. The record is from RNAcentral.
UGCCAGCAGCCGCGGUAAUACGUAGGUGGCAAGCGUUAUCCGGAAUUAUUGGGCGUAAAGAGCGCGCAGGUGGUUAAUUAAGUCUGAUGUGAAAGCCCGGGGCUCAACCCCGGAAGUGCAUUGGAAACUGGCGAACUUGAGUACGGGAGAGGAGAGUGGAAUUCCGAGUGUAGGGGUGAAAUCCGUAGAUAUUCGGAGGAACACCAGUGGCGAAGGCGGCUUUCUGGACCGAUACUGACGCUGAGACGCGAAAGCGUGGGGAGCAAACAGGAUUAGUAG